GGGACGGGAUGGGGGGGGUUGACGGGGACACUUUUACCUCAGCGCGCGAGGAUUGGGCGCCCGGGGCUGCGGGUCCCCGGCCAGGAAACCUCCCUCUGACCUUAGAGGCUGCUCGUAUUCACCCGGGGCUUAGGGAGGGGGAAACUGAGGCUUAGCGCAGAUGAGUGUUGCCCAGAAGCGGGAGCGGUGGGAUCCCGGGCCAGAGCUGGAGAGAAGCAGGACCCCUUAAUUGAAAGUCCUUGCUUGGGGCGGGGAACUGGCUAUUCACUUAUUGGCUAGUUCAUUUACUUAUUUUCAUUCACUCACACAUUUAUGGAACACCAACCCUGUGCCUGGUACACAGGUCCCCUCGGGAACCGCUGACAAACAAGAUCCCGGCCACCCUCACGGGGCUCUCCUUCUGCUGAGGGCUGAGAUGCCGGGAGUUUGCCUCUCCUUGGCUUCUUAUAAACAUGGUUAUUUAACGUAAUAACCUUGAUUAGCCACACCAAGGGCCACGCCCUGUGCUAACCACUCAACACGUUUCUCGAGAUUACUCGGGAACGAGAAAUAUCCCAUUUAACAGAUGAGGAACAUGAGGUCCGCAGGGUAGAAGUACCACAGCUAGCUGGUGACUGACGGAGGCAGGAUUUGAGGCAAGGCCAGGGAACGCCGAGGGGCCAAUAAGUGCAGGGAUUUCCACUUGUUCACCCAAGAAGGGAAUCCAGUGAGAAGACAAUAAGUACAGUGAGAGUUCACCCAAGAAGGGAAUCUAGUGAGAGGACACCGGCUGGCCCUGUGGCAAGCUAGAGCAUGCAAGAAGGUCAUUGUACCCUCUGCUCUCGAACAGAUGGCCUCUGGGUGGUGUCCAGGUGUCUGCUAAAAUGAACAUUCUG
Pipistrellus kuhlii (Kuhl's pipistrelle) is the source of this 875-nucleotide long non-coding RNA. RefSeq lists it as uncharacterized. The transcript has 2 exons. Lineage: Eukaryota; Metazoa; Chordata; Mammalia; Chiroptera; Vespertilionidae. The record is from RefSeq and is a predicted model, not a curated record.